UGGGGGCAACCCUGAUCCAGCCAUACCGCGUGUGUGAAGAAGGCCUUCGGGUUGUAAAGCACUUUCAGUGGGGAGGAAAAGUUGCCGGCGAAUACCCGGCGACCGUGACGCUACCUGCAGAAGAAGCACCGGCAAACUCCGUGCCAGCAGCCGCGGUAAUACGGAGGGUGCGAGCGUUAAUCGGAAUUACUGGGCGUAAAGCGCGCGUAGGCGGUUUGGUAAGCUGGAUGUGAAAGCCCUGGGCUCAACCUGGGAACUGCGUCCAGAACUGCCAAGCUAGAGUAUGGUAGAGGGCAGUGGAAUCUCCGGUGUAGCGGUGAAAUGCGUAGAGAUCGGAAGGAACACCAGUGGCGAAGGCGACUGCCUGGACCCAAUACUGCCCCUGAGGUGUGAAAGCGUGGGGAGCAAACAGGAUAGAUACCCUGGUAGUACCACGCCGUAAACGAUGUCAACUAGCCGUUGGGCUCCUUGAGGGUCUAGUGGCGCAGCUAACGCGAUAAGUUGACCGCCUGGGGAGUACGGCCGCAAGGUUAAAACUCAAAUGAAUUGACGGGGGCCCGCACAAGCGGUGGAGCAUGUGGUUUAAUUCGAUGCAACGCGAAGAACCUUACCAGGCCUUGACAUCCCCGGAACUUGGCAGAGAUGCCUUGGUGCCUUCGGGAACCGGGUGACAGGUGCUGCAUGGCUGUCGUCAGCUCGUGUCGUGAGAUGUUGGGUUAAGUCCCGUAACGAGCGCAACCCUUGUCCUUAGUUGCCAGCGCGUAAUGGCGGGAACUCUAAGGAGACUGCCGGUGACAAACCGGAGGAAGGUGGGGAUGACGUCAAGUCAUCAUGGCCCUUACGGCCUGGGCUACACACGUGCUACAAUGGCCGGUACAGAGGGUUGCCAACCCGCGAGGGGGAGCUAAUCCCAGAAAACCGGUCGUAGUCCGGAUCGGAGUCUGCAACUCGACUCCGUGAAGUCGGAAUCGCUAGUAAUCGCGAAUCAGAAUGUCGCGGUGAAUACGUUCCCGGGCCUUGUACACACCGCCCGUCACACCAUGGGAGUGGGUUGCAAAAGAAGUGGGUAGUCUAACCUUCGGGGGGGCGCUCACCACUUUGUGAUUCAUGACUGGGGUGAAGUCGUAACAAGGUAACCGUA
This 1141-nucleotide ribosomal RNA is filed under the name uncultured bacterium. RNAcentral describes it as "bacterial SSU rRNA". It matches the Rfam family "Bacterial small subunit ribosomal RNA", at positions 372 to 1504 of the family's 1533-position model. The record is from RNAcentral.